This 484-nucleotide ribosomal RNA is filed under the name uncultured bacterium. RNAcentral describes it as "partial 16S ribosomal RNA". It matches the Rfam family "Bacterial small subunit ribosomal RNA", at positions 30 to 507 of the family's 1533-position model. The record is from RNAcentral.
AUUGAACGCUGGCGGAAUGCUUUACACAUGCAAGUCGAGCGGCAGCACGGGGGCAACCCUGGUGGCGAGCGGCGAACGGGUGAGUAAUACAUCGGAACAUGCCCAGUCGUGGGGGAUAACACUUCGAAAGAAGUGCUAAUACCGCAUACGUCCUGAGGGGGAAAGCGGGGGAUCGCAAGACCUCGCGCGAUUGGAGUGGCCGAUGUCAGAUUAGCUAGUUGGUGGGGUAAAGGCCUACCAAGGCAACGAUCUGUAGCUGGUCUGAGAGGAUGAUCAGCCACACUAGGGCUUGAGCAGCGACCCGGCUACUGAGGGAGGGCCCAGUGGGGGAUUUUGGGCAAUGGGGGCAACCCUGAUCCAGCCAUUCCGCGUGAGUGAAGAAGGCCUUCGGGUUGUAAAGCUCUUUCGGCAGGAACGAAACGGUGAGCUCUAACAUAGCUUGCUAAUGACGGUACCUGAAGAAGAAGCACCGGCUAACUACGUG